CUUCCCAAAUGGAAAAUGAGGGUGUAGAUUUCAUUGCCCAUUACUGCCCACUUCUCCUGAUCUACCUUUGAUGAUACCAGAGUGGAUUACAUUAUUUGGACUGUGGAAACUCCCAGAGACAGCAUGGAACAACUUGCCUUGUGCACUCCUUGCAGAAAGAGGAGGAUUCCCCUGUUAUUGAUAAGAGAUAAGAGAUGUGGAGGGAGGAGCCAAGAUGGCCGAAUAGGAACAGCUCCGG
Molecule: long non-coding RNA, 238 nt
Filed under: Homo sapiens (human)
Lineage: Eukaryota; Metazoa; Chordata; Mammalia; Primates; Hominidae
Description: non-protein coding lnc-CLDN23-5:1
Source: RNAcentral